AUACGGAGGGGGCUAGCGUUGUUCGGAAUUACUGGGCGUAAAGCGCACGUAGGCGGAUUAAAAAGUUAGAGGUGAAAUCCCAUGGCUUAACCCUGGAACUGCCUUUAAAACUAGUAGUCUAGAGUUCGAGAGAGGUGAGUGGAAUUCCAAGUGUAGAGGUGAAAUUCGUAGAUAUUUGGAGGAACACCAGUGGCGAAGGCGGCUCACUGGCUCGAUACUGACGCUGAGGUGCGAAAGCGUGGGGAGCAAACAGGAUUAGAUACCCUAGUAGUCC
Molecule: ribosomal RNA, 274 nt
Filed under: uncultured bacterium
Lineage: Bacteria
Description: partial 16S ribosomal RNA
Rfam family: Bacterial small subunit ribosomal RNA
Source: RNAcentral